ACCCUCUGCGACUCGCACCCUUCCCUCUGCUCCGCUGGGCUCGUGCUCUGCAAAUGCCCGCGGUGCCCUCGGAGGGACCCCGUAAGGGAGUUGCUGUCAGCACGGACUCGUCCCCUGCACGUUGCUUAUCCGCGCAGGGGUGCGGGCUCGUGCCCACGUGUGGUGCCCUCUUACCUGCGUGUUUCGGGGCCGUUGGUUUGGAUGGAGCGCGGUCGCUCCAGGUUUGCUGAGGUCUCUUAGGCGCAGGUGAACUUCCAGGGGCUUUUCUCAUGCGUGUGUAAAAAUACACAGACAAUUUUAAAGAAAAGCAACUGCAUUCCUCUGUGGAUCAGUAAUACCUCUCCCCUCCUGUAAUCCCUCCAGCCCCUGCCCUGUAUGUUCCCACUAGCAAACUAAACAAACACAUCCAUUAACUUCCUCGGUGACAGACAAAUGACAGUUCCCAACAGCGAGAGCGUAUUUUAACGCUGGGGCUCCAGCAGUUGAUCGGAUUUCAAUAAACAGGUUACCCUACCAGAGGCAAAUUGAAAUACAUUGACCUGGAGUGACGGGGGGGUGGUGUGUGUGGAAAAAAAGAAGUUUCUGUAUGGGAAGGUGCUCUAAGCAAAGCUCUGGGAUCAGAGCGGAAGGAGCGGUAGCUUUUCCUCCGCUCUCGCCUGUGUCGUACCUUGGUGGGUGCUGUCCCCGGAAAGCCUGAAUGAGAAACCAUGCUUUCAGCUCGCCCGGCUGUGGUCACAAAGGAGGGGCUGCAUUGUUCCAGGAGAAUGGGGGUAUGGCUUUAGGAUGCAGAUUGCUCCAGCUGCAAUUCCCAACAGUGUCAGAGUUGCAUGAAUUGUUGAAAGACCUUUAAAUCACCCAGUGCCAUGGAGUUGUGAAUUCAAAGGUUUAAACUUGCCCUUCGCUUGGGCCGUAACUUGCCAAAAAUGAACGUUGGGGGUGAGGGUGGGAAAGGAGAAGGGGAACGUUACUCUAAAAACCCAAGGUUUGGUUAGUGUGGUGUUGUUUUUUUUUCCUUCUUGGCAUUGGCUCCCAAGCAAAUAUUUUAUGGAGGCAAAAGCACUGUAAAAUGAUUUGGCUGGAAGCUGAAUGAAAAAGAAAACAGCAUAUAGGCUGUAAGUCCUGCAAGUCUGAACUCCAGGCAAGGUUUACAAUGGACACUCAGUUUAAGUUGUAGGCAAUGGGCAGCAGCGCAUUAAUUCAGAUGACCUCAUGGAUGUAUAUUAUUGCAAUGGACCUGAGAAGUUGGUGGAGUUCCGGAAAAGAUCUGAAGUGGGCAGAAGACAAAAAGAUUCUUGUCUCUGUUGUGAGCCAAGUAUUGGCUGCUUUAGUGGCUGACCCUGUUUAAAUUUGGUUUGCACUUGUCUUGCUUAUACUCUUUUAUUGCCCCUGGAAAACGAAUUACCGUGGGCUGCUGUGGUGUGAAGAAGUGACAGAAAAUUAACUGCGGUAAUUUCAGGACAUCAUCAUUUUUCCUAUGGGAAGGACUUUUUAAUAUAACUUUGAUAGGAUCAUAUUGGUAAUUGGCUUAUUGGAACUCUUUUCAGAGCUACAAGCGGAUGGAGAGAUGGUCCUGGUUAUGUAAAAUGACAUAGAAUAUAGUUUAAAAACCAGGGCCAAACCCAUGAAAAAUGUCAUUCGUUCAUGUGCUGAUACCAAGAGAGGGAAAAUGAAGAAAAAAAAGGUGUUGUUGCUAUAAAAAAAAAUAAAUAGAGACAACCCUAACAUUUAAAGCCUGCUUUGCAUCUCUUGAGGUUGAGGGUAUUCUUGAUAGUGGAAGACGUAUAUGAAAGAUCAAAUGUGUAAAUGAGCAGGGGUGAGACACUCUCCAGCACAUGACAGUGCAAAAUAAGGUUGCAGAGUAUCCUCAAUUAUUAUAUGUUUACAUUGGGAUAAUUUCAGAUUCUUAGAAAAAUGUGCCCAGUUGUUAACGUGCCUGUGGAUUUUUUCCGAAUGUAUCAUACGGUGGGUUCGGCCCCUGGAGAUGGAUAAAUGUUACCUGUUUCAGUUGCUCAGGUUUUAUAGACAGUCCUUUGGCCAGAUCUCAGCCUGAGGUCGCAAGGCUUUACGCCGGAGGAAGAAGGGCUCUUUGUUUUGGCCAAACAGCAUUUAAUAUCUAUAUCCUGAUUGCACAUUAGACGUGUGUGGCCCAAAGCGUGCCACCGCCUCCUAAUCUGAGGUGUCAGAAGUGAAAUAGGUGCUCACUGGCUUGCAAUCAAGUGAGGAAGGUGGCUGAGGAGGCUCUCUGUGAAAGUGCUGGACUUUCUUUUCUACUCAUAUUAGGCAAAAGUAGUUACUGCUGGAAUGAGGAUGUUAAUCUGGAGCCGCCUGGUUGCGUGCCCGCGCUAGGGGAAGGGCUUGUGCCAUAGUGCUGUUGCACAAGGGGGCAGAGUUAAGUUGCCCACACGCUCCGGCUUCGAUAUUUCCUGACAGUCAAGUGCUCAGCUGCAAUCUUGCAUUAAAUGUUACGUUGUAUUAUUUUUACAUCUUUAUUUAGGUGAUGCCUUUUAAGGCGAAGGACCCCGCAGGGAUGACUGAUUGGGCUAAUGCAGCAACUUCCCCCCACCCCCAGCAAAUGGGCAUUUUUCCAGGUUCGGAGCUGUGCCUACCGGCUCUGUCCCUUCUUGUGAGCCGAUGUGUCACAUCACCGAUGUACAAAACACUACAAAAAAGGGGAUACCUUAGGAAACCAAGAUAAACUCUUAACAAGUUAUCAAAGUAUCCACACAAAGCAGAGAAAAAGUCUGAUUUUAGAGGUCCAGGUGCAGAACUUGCUGUGUCUGGAGGGAUGAAGGGUGAGGUAGCUCUGGCUAAGUUUGAACCAAUGCUUUUGGGGCUGAAAUUUAAAGACUUUGGCUAAGGGCUUGUCAACAUCUGCAAAUGCCUAGAACCUGGAAUAACCCUUCCAAAAAACUUAAUCUGGAAUAACUCCCCCAGUGACCAAUCUUAUUCUGGGCUAGGAUCUCCUAGAGGGAGGCUGUACCAAAAAAGUCUUUCUCAGGAGCUUUUUCAGUAAAUAUUCAACCCCCUUCUUUCGCUUAUGGGUGAAGACAAGAACUUCUGCACGCACAAAAUCCACUCUUUGAGAACAAAACCUGCGUGCUGUGGUUUUCUAGGAGGGGAUAUGUCUUACGGCUGACGGCCAAGGCGUAGGGCAGCAGCUUCAGCCCGGUUGCCAGCUGGACCGGAUAGCGUCAGCCCUGAACCUGGGAUAAUAGUGCAGGUCUGGUGGCUUGUCCCUCAUGUCACUCCAUUCCUGUUUGCUCCAAGCAGCCCUAUACUGGGCAUAAAAGUCCUCAGCGUCCUGCCCUGGCCCUCCCCCACAGGGGACGAAUGCCAUCUUGGGUCACUAACCUUUAGUGACUAUGUCCUGCAGCAAUGCAGCUCCUACCACGCCACACCUCCGGUCGGAUACAGGUAAUACAAUCUGAUAUUUUCCUGCCUAUGUUAUCUCAGUGACACACAACGCAAUAUUUGUUCCGAAUCUGUCAAGUUGCCAUCAUAUUCUCAUUGGUGACCGUAUAUGGUAACGUUGGGAUGUGCUUGGCUUGGUCCCGUGGCUUAAACAAGAUUUCGUAUGGUAUGUUUAGAAGUUUUUGGUAAGAGCAGUAACGACCCUCCUGUUAGUGGGUAAACUGAUAUUCUGCUGGAAACGAAUUCAUUUGGAUGUUGAUUUCAAUUUCUGUGCAUUGCGUAGGGAGGGGAAGAACGGGACCGUAAUCGCUUUCUGCUCUGGCACUUCUCUAUGCGACCCUUGGCUUGCAAACCUGGUUGAUGCCUGCUUUACAGGGAAUUUACUGGUGGGGCCUCCUCAAAAUUCAAUGGUUUAAUGCAGAAAUAAUGUUAUAUGCCAUUUUUGUUUCUCUGAAUAUUGGAGAAAAGGAAAUAGGAUGCUAGAAGGUUUUUUUUAUUUCUUUGGAGACGAGUUCUUCACUCUGGUGAAUAUAUCCACCGUUCUGUGACUUUGGGGUUUAUAAGAGCGAAUGUUAGUAAAAGCAGAAAAGAUAAAUAAUGAUAAUAUAAGAGAGAUGGUUGUUGGCUUCUGUUUAACUCCUUUAUUCUUGUUGAAUAUUUGUUACCAGAUAUAAUGAUUAGGUAAUUUCCCAGUUGUGAGAGAGAAGCGUGUUCUGAUCUAACAGCCUGAUUUCAGAUUUUAUGUAAGUCACUGCACAUCUUCUGGUUAAGUUUAGGGCAUUUUUUGGAUCGUGCUCUCGGGGAACUUGCUCAUGAAUAAUCUGUCAGCAUGACUUGUACCUAGAAUCAACAUGACUAUCUAAGAAAAUCCUGGCUAUUUUUUUAAACCCCAGUUCCUCCCUUCUUCUGAGGCUGUCGGCCGCUUUAAAUUAUGGCUGAGUUUAAACAUAAAAUACAGUGUGUGUCAUGCUGGAAAAUUAGGGUUGAUUUUAUUUUUUUUUUAUUAGGAAUAUUACAAAACUCGGCAAAUUGCUCAAAUACAUUUAGAUUUUCCUUAAAGGUUUUAUAACUGUUUUCCAAGUCCAUAUGUUUCUUCGACCUUCAUUAAAAGACGCAAGCAGCAAAUUAAUACACAUCUUUUUUGUGAUGCUCUUGUACACAGCAAAGGCUAGACUCCAAAGUCUGACUCUUAGCCACAGAAGAAACUUUUAUGUACCAUGAGGUGGUGCUUGAGAAAUUACAGGAAAAUGGUUCUUUUAGGAAAGAAAUGUCAUCCAAAACAAAAAAAAAAGUGACACUAGCAAGUAGGAACCUGCUUUUCAAGGACCAUCAAUACUAAUUCAUUAACUGAAGAAUAAGUUUGUCAUCUGGCAUGAAUUGGCUGAUAGAGCUGAUCUUUUCCAAUGACUGGUCGGAUAAUUCCUUUCCGAGCGGCUGUCUCGCCAUGAGCGACGCUGGUACAUCUGGGUGCCGAACACUUGCUGUAGAAUAGCGUGAAUGCAGGAGAGGUAGUGACUGCCUGGCUGUGAAUUUUUGGAUUAAUUAUUGGUAGAGAUCAAAAUUUCCACCAAAAGGGGAAAAUAAUAAUAAUGCAGAAGUCCUUUUUUUCCUAGUUUGAAUUUUAAACAAACCAACCCAACAGCCUUUCGUCAUAGCUUUAUUUGUUCAGUGGGAGUAGAACCAGUGCAGCUUUCUGAUUUUCCUGAGACGCGGAGCUCCUACUUCUGUCUGCAGAGACUUGUAAAAUCAUGGUGCUCAAAGGUCCGUGCAAAUGUAUCCCACCAUUACAGGAGUCAGUUGAAAUGCUCCUUUCUCCCCUUUCUUUCAUUAACCUGGUAAUUUUGUCUUGUUUCAAGGAGUUUCUUUCAUCUGACCUCUUCUGGUGUUUUCUGGUGGGCUGCUCAAGCUGAAAUGCAUCUGAUCUUGUUUUGAACAUUUGAUUUGGAUUUAUUUUCCUUUUCUUGUUCUCUGUAAUCAGCCUUGACUUGAAGCUUUAUCUAAUAAUAAUGCCUCCAUACGUAUUUAUCUGUGUUGACCUGUCCUUAUCUUUUGCACCAAGGUGGAACAUUUUUGUCUAUAUAAGGGACUUUUUUUUGAGAAUAGAGCCAGUGUGAAUGUAGAAGUUGCAAAGACCACUGUCUGAUGCAAGCCUAUUGAGUCUGGUGCUCAUUCAUAGCAGCCGUGGUACUAAGUUUUAACAGGUUAGGACCUGAUUCAGAGCCUGUGAGAGCUGGUGCCAUGUCUCCUACCCACUCCUAUGGGCUUUGGAUCCAUUCCUGAAGGACGACUUACAGAGACCGACAUCGCAGAUAAUCUGUGUAUGGAUCCCUCAUGUAUGACAGCGGGAGAGAGAUGGCUAAGAGGGGUAUUUUGGAUCCUGCCGUUCGCCUGCUUCACCGGUCAGCUUGGACUCAGUUUUUUUUUAUUGUAGAAACACAUUGCUUCUGCCCACUGUGAGCUCUGGCUCGUGGCUGGAACAUGCACUGCCAGGGCUGAAAGCAACUUGGAAAUUCACUGCUUAAAUUUUGGGUUGCUGCAGAGGGGUUUAUCCCCAAAGGAAGGCUGCCAUUCUAGGGGCGGUGUUGCUAGGUGUGGAGGGGCUGAAGGCUGGCCUGAGUGUUAUUUAACAAGUUAAUAUAUGCCGUUUGCUGCUGAAUCCAUUCACAUCCCUGUUGUUUGGUUUUCUUUUUUUUUUUUUUUAUCCCUUCUGAGUCAAAUAAACAUGGGCUGCAUGGA
Molecule: non-coding RNA, 6147 nt
Organism: Phalacrocorax carbo (great cormorant)
Lineage: Eukaryota; Metazoa; Chordata; Aves; Suliformes; Phalacrocoracidae
Source: RefSeq, a predicted model, not a curated record